This 556-nucleotide ribosomal RNA is filed under the name Rhodotorula mucilaginosa. Its description in RNAcentral is "partial large subunit ribosomal RNA". It matches the Rfam family "Eukaryotic large subunit ribosomal RNA", at positions 67 to 641 of the family's 3401-position model. The record is from RNAcentral. Lineage: Eukaryota; Fungi; Basidiomycota; Microbotryomycetes; Sporidiobolales; Sporidiobolaceae.
UAAGGGCAUUCCCUAGUAGCGGCGAGCGAGCGGGAAGAGCUCAAAUUUAUAAUCUGGCACCUUCGGUGUCCGAGUUGUAAUCUCUAGAAAUGUUUUCCGCGUUGGACCGCACACAAGUCUGUUGGAAUACAGCGGCAUAGUGGUGAGACCCCCGUAUAUGGUGCGGACGCCCAGCGCUUUGUGAUACAUUUUCGAAGAGUCGAGUUGUUUGGGAAUGCAGCUCAAAUUGGGUGGUAAAUUCCAUCUAAAGCUAAAUAUUGGCGAGAGACCGAUAGCGAACAAGUACCGUGAGGGAAAGAUGAAAAGCACUUUGGAAAGAGAGUUAACAGUACGUGAAAUUGUUGGAAGGGAAACGCUUGAAGUCAGACUUGCUUGCCGAGCAAUCGGUUUGCAGGCCAGCAUCAGUUUUCCGGGAUGGAUAAUGGUAGAGAGAAGGUAGCAGUUUCGGCUGUGUUAUAGCUCUCUGCUGGAUACAUCUUGGGGGACUGAGGAACGCAGUGUGCCUUUGGCGGGGGUUUCGACCUCUUCACACUUAGGAUGCUGGUGGAAUGGCUUU